AGUGAACGCUGGCGGUAGGCCUAACACAUGCAAGUCGAACGGCAGCACAGUAAGAGCUUGCUCUUACGGGUGGCGAGUGGCGGACGGGUGAGGAAUACAUCGGAAUCUACUUUUUCGUGGGGGAUAACGUAGGGAAACUUACGCUAAUACCGCAUACGACCUACGGGUGAAAGCAGGGGAUCUUCGGACCUUGCGCGAUUGAAUGAGCCGAUGUCGGAUUAGCUAGUUGGCGGGGUAAAGGCCCACCAAGGCGACGAUCCGUAGCUGGUCUGAGAGGAUGAUCAGCCACACUGGAACUGAGACACGGUCCAGACUCCUACGGGAGGCAGCAGUGGGGAAUAUUGGACAAUGGGCGCAAGCCUGAUCCAGCCAUACCGCGUGGGUGAGGAAGGCCUUCGGGUUGUAAAGCCCUUUUGCUGGGAAAGAAAAGCAGCAGGUUAAUACCCCGCUGUUCUGACGGUACCCAAAGAAUAAGCACCGGCUAACUUCGUG
This 492-nucleotide ribosomal RNA is filed under the name uncultured bacterium. RNAcentral's name for it is "partial 16S ribosomal RNA". It matches the Rfam family "Bacterial small subunit ribosomal RNA", at positions 29 to 507 of the family's 1533-position model. The record is from RNAcentral.